Molecule: ribosomal RNA, 497 nt
Filed under: uncultured bacterium
Lineage: Bacteria
Description: partial 16S ribosomal RNA
Rfam family: Bacterial small subunit ribosomal RNA
Source: RNAcentral
GAUGAACGCUGGCGGCGUGCCUAAUACAUGCAAGUCGAGCGAACAGACGAGGAGCUUGCUCCUCUGACGUUAGCGGCGGACGGGUGAGUAACACGUGGAUAACCUACCUAUAAGACUGGGAUAACUUCGGGAAACCGGAGCUAAUACCGGAUAAUAUAUUGAACCGCAUGGUUCUAUAGUGAAAGACGGUUUUGCUGUCACUUAUAGAUGGAUCCGCGCCGCAUUAGCUAGUUGGUAAGGUAACGGCUUACCAAGGCAACGAUGCGUAGCCGACCUGAGAGGGUGAUCGGCCACACUGGAACUGAGACACGGUCCAGACUCCUACGGGAGGCAGCAGUAGGGAAUCUUCCGCAAUGGGCGAAAGCCUGACGGAGCAACGCCGCGUGAGUGAUGAAGGUCUUCGGCUCGUAAAACUCUGUUAUUAGGGAAGAACAAAUGUGUAAGUAACUAUGCACGUCUUGACGGUACCUAAUCAGAAAGCCACGGCUAACUACGUG